Salvia miltiorrhiza (redroot sage) is the source of this 2131-nucleotide long non-coding RNA. RefSeq lists it as uncharacterized. The transcript is spliced from 6 exons. NCBI's taxonomy places the organism in Eukaryota, Viridiplantae, Streptophyta, Magnoliopsida, Lamiales, Lamiaceae. The record is from RefSeq and is a predicted model, not a curated record.
GAUUCACUCCCACCCACUAAACCCUAAGUACGUCCCCCCUCUCCCCACUUCCCCUCAAACCCGCUCCCUCUGGCUUCCGCUCAAAAUCGUCGCCUCUCUCCCUCAUCCGCGGUCUCUCUCCCUCGGACGUCGUCCCACUCCCUCAAACCGACGUCCCUCUCACGCCGCCUUCACCACGCCGUCGUCCACAGUUCUGUCACCGCUACGGUCAUCCCCUGCACGGCAUAGCCAUCGUCCUCCGUUGAAUCACCCUGCCUUCCUCUGCCUCACUGAGAGAGGAUCGCUGCCUCCGCCGGGGAGAGGACCCCCUCCUCCUCAGGCUGACAGGCCCGCCGCACCUCGCCCUAAAUCUGUCGAUCGUGAGAAGGUUCUCUCUCCCUCUCCUCUAUGUCCAUCUCUACAUUCUUUUGAUUUUGAUUCUGAUGUUUUCAAUUUAUGAGUUUUCUAUCUAGGGUUUCUCGGUUGAAAUGUUGACUGGUUAUUUUUGUGAGCAAUUAUUUUUGUGACUUUCUGGCAAUGCCUGUCUAAGAAACGUUGCUGCAAUUCUCGAGCUAAAUGAAAACCUUGAAAGAAGUUUCGUGUAUUUGAAGCAGCUCCGCUGGAAUCAAGAGGAGUACCGGUGAAGAAGCCUUCUCCGGAUUACUUUUUAUAGGAAAGAGAAUUCAUAUACGAUUGGUAAAAUUGUGAAUUCUGUGGUGUUGGAGACCAGAAUCUGUAAGCAGCUAUUGGUUUGUUAAAGUUAACCAUUAAUUUACUGUCAUUUUCAUAUCAAAUAUGCUAAUCAUAGACUAAACGAUGGAGAACAUGUGAAGUGGAUUAGUCUUUAUCUUCUUCUUCUGCAGAGAAUAUAUAGAAGUGAUAUGUAAGGAUGGGUAUCCUGAGAGUUGCAGUAAUGGAAAGAGUCUUCUUCAUCAUGCAAACUUAUUUCACAAGUGUUUGGAAGCUGAGCUUCACCAACGCUGCUACAAUUCUUAAUAUAUGGGGUGGAUUCUACAGAAUUCUUCCAGUUUUCUUUCUUUUCCUUGCUGACACUCUUCUUGGGAAUAUAUAAUGUUUUAUUUUCCUACCAUUGGUUUGUCAAAGUUAACCAUUAAUUACUUGUUUUAUACCAUUUAUUGGUUCCUUCCAAACCAUUUUGGAACAAGUUAUUCAAAGAGCAUAUUCCAGAUCGAAGUGACACUGGUUUAUAUUUCUUUCCCGGAGUUGGAGAGAGCUCGAAGGAGUAUUAUUUCUUCCUCGUAGAUCAAAUAAUUUCGACGAACUAUGCAUUGAGGAAGCAGAUUGCAGAUGUUGACCUAUUGGUUUUCAGUACCAAACUUCUACAUGCCAAUUGUAUGCCAAAGAGAUUCUUCAAAAAGAAAUGCUUUCUCAUGUUGGUGUUGGGGAGUACUGUGAGACAAAAUUUGCUUAUUACUUUGGGAAGAUCAUUGGAGCAAGAUACUUCAACAAGUGAUAUAGUGCCGUUGUCGGGAACAAACUGUGCUUGAAGAGGGAGAGCCUCUCAGCUACAUUGUUGCCUCUACACAAGGCGUACCCCGUCAUCUCUGCUGCAUCGGCCAAAGCUGGCAACGCAUCAGCUGAUGAGGCCUUGCUCUGCAAAUCUGGCACCUUGAAUCCACGGAAGGCGAAGGGGAAGUUUUGGUGUGCCUACGAGGGGACAACGCGAGAGUUGACAAGGGCGAGCAAGCUGCCUUGGCUGGUGCAGUAGGGAUGGUUUUAGCUAACAAUGAGGCUUCUGGUAAUAAAAUUCUUGCUGAUCCUCGUGUUCUCCCUGCAUCACACAUCAACUUUUCCGAUGGCCUCGCCCUUUUCUCUUCACACAUCAACUUUUCCGAUGGCCUCGCCCUUUUCUCCUACAUCAACUCAACGAGGUUCGAAUCAUGAAUCAUGGAUCCUAUUGAAAGCUUUUUCUGACAUGGAGAAGUUCUUGCUUUCUUUGACCUUUCGAAAGCUUCUGGGAACUAUUAUGACUUGUGGAUUUUGAAUGUAGGAUUCUCUAUGAAAAAUACUAUUAUGGUGUAGCUUUUUAGAUGUUCAUUAUGGUGUUGGGAGAUGUUGUAAAACAAUGGAUCUUAUUUUGUGGAUGUUGGAUUAUUAGUUGUUAUCAAUGUUUAAAUGAGCAUUUUUAGUA